RNAcentral lists this ribosomal RNA (253 nucleotides) under uncultured bacterium. RNAcentral's name for it is "partial 16S ribosomal RNA". It matches the Rfam family "Bacterial small subunit ribosomal RNA", at positions 524 to 776 of the family's 1533-position model. The record is from RNAcentral.
UACGUAGGGGGCGAGCGUUAUCCGGAUUUACUGGGCGUAAAGCGCGUUAAGGCGGUUGGCAAAGUUGGUGGUGAAAUCCCAGGGCUCAACCCUGGAACUGCCUCCAAUACUGGUCGACUAGAGUGUGAGAGAGGAAGGUGGAAUUCCCGGUGUAGUAGUGAAAUGCGUAGAUAUCGGGAGGAACACCAGUGGCGAAGGCGGCCUUCUGGCUCACAACUGACGCUGUAGCGCGAAAGCGUGGGGAGCGAACGGG